This 460-nucleotide ribosomal RNA is filed under the name uncultured bacterium. RNAcentral describes it as "partial 16S ribosomal RNA". It matches the Rfam family "Bacterial small subunit ribosomal RNA", at positions 338 to 795 of the family's 1533-position model. The record is from RNAcentral.
CCUACGGGGGGCAGCAGUGAGGAAUAUUGGUCAAUGGGCGCGAGCCUGAACCAGCCAAGUAGCGUGAAGGAUGACUGCCCUACGGGUUGUAAACUUCUUUUAUAAAGGAAUAAAGUGAGGCACGUGUGCCUUUUUGUAUGUAUUUGAUGAAUAAGGAUCGGCUAACUCCGUGCCAGCAGCCGCGGGAAUACGGAGGAACCGAGCGUUAUCCGGAUUUAUUGGGGUUAAAGGGAGCGUAGAUGGGAUGUUAAGUCAGUUGUGAAAGUUUGCGGCUCAACCGUAAAAUUGCAAUUGAUACUGGCAGCCUUGAGUACAGUUGAGGUAUGCGGAAUUCGUGGUGUAGCGGUGAUAUGCAUAGAUAUCACGCAGAACUCCGAUUGCGAAGGCAGCAUACCGGCGCCCAACUGACGCUGAAGCACGAAAGCGUGGGUAUCGAACAGGAUUAGAUACCCUAGUAGUC